This 620-nucleotide ribosomal RNA is filed under the name Alcaligenes phenolicus. RNAcentral describes it as "bacterial SSU rRNA". It matches the Rfam family "Bacterial small subunit ribosomal RNA", at positions 77 to 689 of the family's 1533-position model. The record is from RNAcentral. Lineage: Bacteria; Pseudomonadati; Pseudomonadota; Betaproteobacteria; Burkholderiales; Alcaligenaceae.
AGCUUGCUCUCUUGGCGGCGAGUGGCGGACGGGUGAGUAAUAUAUCGGAACGUGCCCAGUAGCGGGGGAUAACUACUCGAAAGAGUGGCUAAUACCGCAUACGCCCUACGGGGGAAAGGGGGGGAUCGCAAGACCUCUCACUAUUGGAGCGGCCGAUAUCGGAUUAGCUAGUUGGUGGGGUAAAGGCUCACCAAGGCAACGAUCCGUAGCUGGUUUGAGAGGACGACCAGCCACACUGGGACUGAGACACGGCCCAGACUCCUACGGGAGGCAGCAGUGGGGAAUUUUGGACAAUGGGGGAAACCCUGAUCCAGCCAUCCCGCGUGUAUGAUGAAGGCCUUCGGGUUGUAAAGUACUUUUGGCAGAGAAGAAAAGGUAUCCCCUAAUACGGGAUACUGCUGACGGUAUCUGCAGAAUAAGCACCGGCUAACUACGUGCCAGCAGCCGCGGUAAUACGUAGGGUGCAAGCGUUAAUCGGAAUUACUGGGCGUAAAGCGUGUGUAGGCGGUUCGGAAAGAAAGAUGUGAAAUCCCAGGGCUCAACCUUGGAACUGCAUUUUUAACUGCCGAGCUAGAGUAUGUCAGAGGGGGGGUAGAAUUCCCGGUGUAGCAGUGAAAUGC